RNAcentral lists this ribosomal RNA (253 nucleotides) under uncultured bacterium. RNAcentral describes it as "partial 16S ribosomal RNA". It matches the Rfam family "Bacterial small subunit ribosomal RNA", at positions 524 to 776 of the family's 1533-position model. The record is from RNAcentral.
CACGUAGGGGGCAAGCGUUGUCCGGAUUCAUUGGGCGUAAAGGGCGCGUAGGUGGCCAACUAAGUCAGACGUGAAAUCCCUCGGCUUAACCGGGGAACUGCGUCUGAUACUGGAUGGCUUGAGUUUGGGAGAGGGACGCGGAAUUCCAGGUGUAGCGGUGAAAUGCGUAGAUAUCUGGAGGAACACCGGUGGCGAAGGCGGCGUCCUGGACCAAUACUGACACUGAAACGCGAAAGCCAGGGGAGCAAACGGG